AUCGUAACUCCUACGGGAGGCAGCAGUGGGGAAUAUUGGACAAUGGGCGAGAGCCUGAUCCAGCCAUGCCGCGUGUGUGAAGAAGGUCUUCGGAUUGUAAAGCACUUUAAGUUGGGAGGAAGGGUUGUAGAUUAAUACUCUGCAAUUUUGACGUUACCGACAGAAUAAGCACCGGCUAACUCUGUGCCAGCAGCCGCGGUAAUACAGAGAGUGCAAGCGUUAAUCGGAAUUACUGGGCGUAAAGCGCGCGUAGGUGGUUUGUUAAGUUGGAUGUGAAAUCCCCGGGCUCAACCUGGGAACUGCAUCCAAAACUGGCAAGCUAGAGUAUGGUAGAGGGUGGUGGAAUUUCCUGUGUAGCGGUGAAAUGCGUAGAUAUAGGAAGGAACACCAGUGGCGAAGGCGACCACCUGGACUGAUACUGACACUGAGGUGCGAAAGCGUGGGGAGCAAACAGGAUUAGAUACCCUAGUAGUCCUAGAGC
This 481-nucleotide ribosomal RNA is filed under the name uncultured bacterium. Its description in RNAcentral is "bacterial SSU rRNA". It matches the Rfam family "Bacterial small subunit ribosomal RNA", at positions 329 to 802 of the family's 1533-position model. The record is from RNAcentral.